CCAAUAGCGUAUAUUAAAGUUGUUGCAGUUAAAAAGCUCGUAGUUGAAUUUCGGGAUCAAUGGGUUGGUCAUGCCCUCGGUAUGUACUGAUUUCAUUGGUUCUCACCUUCUAAGGAACCAUGAUGUCAUUUAUUUGAUGUUGUGGGAAAUUAGGACUGUUACCUUGAAAAAAUUAGAGUGUUUAAAGCAGGCUAACGCUUGAAUACAUUAGCAUGGAAUAAUGAAAUAGGACAUCCGAUUCUAUUUUGUUGGUUUCUAGGAUCGAUGUAAUGAUUAAUAGGGAUAGUUGGGGGCAUUAGUAUUCAAUUGUCAGAGGUGAAAUUCUUGGAUUUAUUGAAGACUAACUACUGCGAAAGCAUUUGCCAAGGAUGUUUUCAUUAAUCAAGAACGAAAGUUAGGGGAUCGAAGACGAUCAGAUACCGUCGUAGUCUUAACCAUAAACUAUGCCGACUAGGGAUCGGAUGAUGCUUAUUUUUUAAUGACUCAUUCGGCACCUUAC
RNAcentral lists this ribosomal RNA (499 nucleotides) under uncultured Glomeromycotina. Its description in RNAcentral is "partial small subunit ribosomal RNA". It matches the Rfam family "Eukaryotic small subunit ribosomal RNA", at positions 591 to 1091 of the family's 1831-position model. Lineage: Eukaryota; Fungi; Glomeromycota. The record is from RNAcentral.